CCCUUAGAUGUCCUGGGCUGCACGCGCGCUACACUGAUGAAUUCAACGAGCACUAACCUGUGCAGAAAUGUUCGGGUAAUCUUGUGAAAUUUCAUCGUGAUGGGGAUUGAUUAUUGCAAUUAUUAAUCAUAAACGAGGAAUGCCUAGUAAGCGUGAGUCAUCAGCUCACGUUGAUUACGUCCCUGCCCUUUGUACACACCGCCCGUCGCUCCUACCGAUUGAAUGUGCUGGUGAAAAGUUCGGAUUGGGAAUAGGAGACGGCAACGUAUCCUGUUUCUGAGAAAAUCUUUAAACCCUCCCAUUUAGAGGAAGGAGAAGUCGUAACA
RNAcentral lists this ribosomal RNA (326 nucleotides) under uncultured eukaryote. RNAcentral's name for it is "partial 18S ribosomal RNA". It matches the Rfam family "Eukaryotic small subunit ribosomal RNA", at positions 1470 to 1796 of the family's 1831-position model. The record is from RNAcentral.